UGCGUUGACCCCGUUGUGUGAUUACCUCUGUGUAUUCGGUCAUCAAAAAAGAUUAUGUGUCGGAGAAAACAAACUUCAAAAGGGAUAUUUGUGAUGUGGAAGGGGAAAUGAACGAACACGGAUACAUUUUGUAGCUUUUGGUUCCAAGCCUGUAAGCUGAGCCAAGCAAAAUAGAUAUGUGAUGGAGGAGACUGGUGAUUACAAACUAAUCAAAAGAAGAAUAUGUCAUAUCUUGGAUAAAAAUGGUUACCUUCAACAAAUAGAUAUAUUGGUUACAGUUAAAUUAAAUAUUGUUGUUAAGAAGAUUUUCCCUAUUCAUCUUAGAGGAACAGAAACAUGUUUGGAUGGAACAUGUGCUUAAACUUUGCAUAAGUUUUGUUGAAACUUCCAUUUGAUACUGAAGAUGGUUGUUGAAUAUUGUUUGUUAACUAUAUCUAUAUGGCUUUAAAGAGAGAUGUUGACAGGUGCAAUUUUAGUGCAAAAAGUGCAUGUGUAACAUGUUGAAUGAACAAACAAUAGUAUGCAGUAAAACACCAAGAAUCAUUAUGUUUUCAUAACAUUUUAACAACUAAAUAAAUGGGUCGGAAUGUCCAUCUAUCCAUCCAUCAAAAGCAGAUAUCUACAUGUUAGUGAAACUUAAUACAUUAUAGAUGGAUAUAUCUCAUUGGGGAGAAAUGAUGUGUUGAAUUUGUAUGCCCCUACCCCCUUUGAAGGAGGGGGGGUAUAUUGUUUUGCUAAUGUCAGUCCGUCGGUAGACCACAUGGUUUCCACUUAUUAUCUUGAAAAAUAUUUAUCAUAUAGUCUAAUAUUUCACAUAAUGAUUGGUCAUAACUAGUAGAUGACCCAUAUUGAUUUUGGGUUCACUAGGUCAAAGGUCAAGGUCACAGGAGCCUUAAAUGUCAGAAUAGUUUCCGCUGAUUUUCUUGAAAAUAAUUCAUCAUAAAGUCUUCAUAUUUCACAUAUUAAUUGGUCAUAUCUAGAAGAUGACCCCUAUCGUUUUUGGGGUCACUAGGUCAAGGUCACAGGGGCCUUAAAUGUCAAAAUGGUGUCGCUGAUUAUCUUGUAAAGUAUUCAUCACAAAGUCGUCAUACUUCACAUAGUGAUUGGUCGUUAUAGUAGAUGACUUCUAUUGAUUUUGAAGUCACUAGGUCAAAGGUCAAGGUCACAGAGGCCUUAAAUGUCAGAAGGGUUUCUGCUGAUUAUCUUGAAAAGAAUUCAUCACAUAGUCUUCAUAUUUCACAUAUUGAUUGGUCAUAACUAGUAGAUGACCCCUAUUGAUUUUUGGGUCAUUACGUCAAAGGUCAAGGUCACAGGGGCCUCAAAUGUCAGAAUGGCUUCUGCUCAUUAUCUUUGUUAUAAUUCAUCACAAAGUCUUCAUAUAUCACAUAUUAAUUGGUCGUAACUAGUAGAUGACCCCUAUUGAUUUUUGGGUCACUAAGUAAAAUGUCAAGGUCACAGGGGCCUUGAAUGGUUAUAUGAUUUCCACUUAUUAUUAUGGUUACUACUUAUUACAAAGUCUUCAUAUUUCACAUAUUGAGUCUCUGAUUUUCACGCUCUCGUUAAUCUUCGGCGAUAUCUGUGCCUUGUUGCUUACAUUGCUGACAUUAAUUUUCAUCGGAGUAAUAUUUGUGUAGAAAAGUGUGUUUUGUACUUUUAAAAUAAAUAAUUAUUGCUUCUUAUAUAAGUAGAAAAUGCUUAGUCUUUUUUGUUGAUGUACCUCCGGGAAUUCAAUAAGGCGGAACUAAAUAUUUUUACUCUUGGUUAUAUAGUAGGUGGCCAAACAUUAAGCUAGUAGCAUUUCAUCAAACAUUUAAACAACCCUUGAUUUUCAUGAAACUUUGAAAACUGUUUUGUCUUGUAACAUGUAAGAAAGCCUUUUUUUUAAUUUCAAGUCUGCCAAAUGUUAGUAAGUAUUCUUGUUCUGUUUGAUCAAACCUAGUUAAAUGUUGUAGUUUUUUUUUGUUUUUUUUUUCAAAAACAUCAUUGCAAGUUUUUCAGUCAAUUUUUAAAGUCUGUAAAAUGCCAUUACAUUUUUAAUUGUAGAAGACUAACUUAUACUGUACAUAUGUUAGAAAAAUUGUAGAUGUGUUAGAAUUAUAUUUAUAUAUCUGUAAAUUUGUUUUAAUGCUUUAGACUGUAAGAAUAUAAUUCUUUUUUCAUUUUGUAAAAUGUUCUCUGCUGUAACAUUUUGAAUGAAAACUUGUAUUUAAAUGCUUCUAUCUAUUGUCAGUAAAUCUUUUUUUCGGGCAUAUUAUGUAAAAUAAUGUUAUACCC
This is a long non-coding RNA of Ruditapes philippinarum (Manila clam), 2274 nucleotides long. RefSeq lists it as uncharacterized. The transcript is spliced from 4 exons. The record is from RefSeq and is a predicted model, not a curated record. Lineage: Eukaryota; Metazoa; Mollusca; Bivalvia; Venerida; Veneridae.